GUGGUGACUGAAACCACACACCAUGUUGGGAGACUUCCAAACAAGUCUAGAGAGUUGGCACUUAGGGAUGAAGAAAUCAUCUUCUGGGUACACUUGGUCUUUCCUGAUGAAGCUUUUAAGAGAAAAGCAGAGUUGACCCUGGGCUUUCAAAAAACUCUUCUUUCAGGCAAAACCUCAGAGAGAACUGGCUGCUAGUGAUCCUCUGCAGAGACCUUGAAGAGCACGGCAAUUAUGAAACUUCAACAAGAAAAGAUUUAAGCUGAUCUUUAAAAAAAAUAUACUGUCAGGAAUUUUGUAGAAAUGACUUUAAUGUAAUAACUGCUUCUUUGACUUAUGUUUUGUCUGGUGGUGAAAAGAAAAAUAUUUAUAAAAGCAUGCCUGUGUCCUAAAAUUGGGGACACAAACUUAAAUGACUGAAGGCACUUAAGGAGUGGAGGCAAGGAUGGUGAAACCAGGCCCUGUACCAAGCAGGAGAGCGUGAACCUGCUAAAGAGAGUGACUGCUUCUCAUUUCCAGUCGAUGCGACUGGUGUCACAUUCCAGUCAAAUGGAGUUGCGACACCAUUUCAGCCACAGCGAUUGAUCUGGAUUUUCUGUAAAAUUCCCUGAUUUUUACAUAUUGCCAAUUAAUUAAUUAAUUAAAAAGAAAUGUAGAUGUUCAA
This 661-nucleotide long non-coding RNA is filed under the name Pan troglodytes (chimpanzee). Its description in RNAcentral is "lincRNA". Lineage: Eukaryota; Metazoa; Chordata; Mammalia; Primates; Hominidae. The record is from RNAcentral.